CCNAAGGCUAAAUACUCCUGACUGACCGAUAGUGAACCAGUACCGUGAGGGAAAGGCGAAAAGAACCCCUGUGAGGGGAGUGAAAUAGAACCUGAAACCGUCUACGUACAAGCAGUGGGAGCCCCAUCACUAAGACACUUCAUCUUAGUGAGACGCUAUCACUUUGUUGAUUGGGUUAACCACGCGMAGCGUGGGUCAACCGCCCAAUCMAGCAGAGGUGACUUAGUGAUGGGGUGACCGCGUACCUUUUGUAUAAUGGGUCAGCGACUUAAUGUAAGUAGCCAGGUUAACCGYAUAGGGGAGCCGUAGGGAAACCGAGUCUUAACUGGGCGACAGUUGCUUGCAUUAGACCCGAAACCGAGUGAUCUAGCCAUGGGCAGGUUGAAGGUUGAGUAACAUCAACUGGAGGACCGAACUCACUAACGU
Molecule: ribosomal RNA, 426 nt
Filed under: Salinivibrio kushneri
Lineage: Bacteria; Pseudomonadati; Pseudomonadota; Gammaproteobacteria; Vibrionales; Vibrionaceae
Description: bacterial LSU rRNA
Rfam family: Bacterial large subunit ribosomal RNA
Source: RNAcentral